This 443-nucleotide ribosomal RNA is filed under the name uncultured bacterium. Its description in RNAcentral is "partial 16S ribosomal RNA". It matches the Rfam family "Bacterial small subunit ribosomal RNA", at positions 338 to 795 of the family's 1533-position model. The record is from RNAcentral.
CCUACGGGUGGCAGCAGUGGGGAAUAUUGGGCAAUGGGCGCAAGCCUGACCCAGCAACGCCGCGUGAAGGAAGAAGGCUCUCGGGUUGUAAACUUCUUUUUUCAGGGACGAAGCAAGUGACGGUACCUGAUGAAUAAGCCUCGGCUAACUACGUGCCAGCAGCCGCGGUAAUACGUAGGUGGCAAGCGUUAUCCGGAUUUACUGGGUGUAAAGGGCGUGUAGGCGGGAAAGCAAGUCAGAUGUGAAAACUAUGGGCUCAACCGGUGGCCUGCAUUUGAAACUGUUUUUCUUGAGUACUGGAGAGGCAGACGGAAUUCGUAGUGUAGCGGUGAAAUGCGUAGAUAUGAGGAGGAACACCAGUGGCGAAGGCGGUCUGCUGGACAGCAACUGACGCUGAGGCGCGAAAGCGUGGGGAGCAAACAGGAUUAGAUACCCCGGUAGUC